RNAcentral lists this long non-coding RNA (1482 nucleotides) under Trifolium pratense (red clover). Its description in RNAcentral is "long non-coding RNA (TPRA_LNC005637)". The record is from RNAcentral. Lineage: Eukaryota; Viridiplantae; Streptophyta; Magnoliopsida; Fabales; Fabaceae.
GAUAGAAUGAUAAAUACAUAUAAAACUCAUUCAUAAAUAAAAUAUCUCGAGUUCGAACUCAAAAUACCAUAAAAUAUUCAAGUUAAUAAUUUCGACAUUUGCUUAUGACAUAAAAAACAAUUAAUUUCAUGAAAAGCAAUAAAAUAAAUUAUUUGUACAAUAUAAAAUAACUUUUUUUUGUUAAAAAUGUAUAAAAAUGCUAACAAGUGCAAGAAGAUUUAAAAAGAAACAAUAUUUUUGAACAUGACUAAUGAACCAGCUCAUGUAAAUUAAUUUGUUACAUAAAUGAAACAAUAAAUUAAUUAAAGGACACAAAGUUUGGUUGUGGAGUGGGGACCAAUUAUGAUUAUGAAUGAAUAUGAGUUGUGUAUGUGUCUGCAUCUUUUAGAUGGAAGCUGCAAGAGUUUGGUAAGUUAGGCAAAGUAAACAGGUGAACUAAUUAAUUGCACAGUUGUGACAAAUCACAUUAUGACACACAAACCAGCCUGUUUUAAUUCUUUUAUUAAAUCCUUCAAAAAAACACAUCAUUUAUUUUCCGAUAACAGUCUCUUUCUUUUCUUCUUUACACAACCACACCAUAAAUUUAAGAUACACACACGCAAGAGAAAUUAUCGUAAAGUUUGAUUAAAUUAAUUCCAAGGGCAAGGGACCCCUUGAUAAUUCACACAUAUGUUUUCUUUCUUUUUGGUAAUUUAUUAUUUUUUUUGGUAAAUAUAUUUUUAAUUCUUCUAAAUAUAUCAACUUUUAUUUUAAAUUUUUCUAAAAAAAAAUUAAAACUUUAAUCCUGUAAAUUUUAAAAUUUUCAUUUUAUCCUCUGUUUUUUAUGACAUAUCUUGAUUAGUUUGAUGAUUUAAUUAUUUAAUUUUUAGUUUAAUAAUUUUUUUUUUAGUUUAAAUUUAUAGAUAAAUUAAUGAAGAUUAAAAAUUAAGUAUUUAAGGUUGUAUUCCCUUUUUGGGUUGGCUUUUACACUUUUUGUUUGCUUAAAAAAAAUUAAGUAUUUAAAUUAUUAAACUAAUGAUAUUUUAGUCUUAUAUACAAUGACAUGUUAUAAAAAAAUAUCAAUUGGAGCAUGCGACAUAAACUUUUACAAAAAUAAGAGAUUAAAAUUGAAAAUAAAAAGUUUAGAGGGACUAAAGUUUGAAGUAAAUUUUUAGGAGGACUAAAAUAUAUUUAUUCCUUCUAAAAGUGAAAAUCGAUAUCUUUAGAAGGACAAAAAUAUAUUUAAUCUUUUUCUUUCUAAGCUUUUAUUGUUUCCAAAAUAUCACACAUUUGUUGUAUUAUUGACUUUUUUUUUGGCACAUUUUAUUAUUGACAUGUGUAGCUCUAUCCACGUGUCUUAUAUGUUUCCAUUCAUCUCCUAGACUAGAUUUCAGCUUGUUAUUCACAAAAUCAUAUCACUAUUAAAUUAAAUUAAAUUAAAUUAAAUUAAAUUAAUCAUAUGAUAGUAGUAUAGUUCUAUAGCUAAAAGGGGUUUGACCAGUG